GAUGAAGAACGUAGCGAAAUGCGAUAAGUAGUGUGAAUUGCAGAAUUCAGUGAAUCAUCGAAUCUUUGAACGCACAUUGCGCCCCUUGGUAUCCCGAGGGGCAUGCCUGUUCGAGCGUCAUUUCACCACUCAAGCCUGGCUUGGUGUUGGGCGACGUCCCCUUUGGGGACGCGCCUCGAAACGCUCGGCGGCGUGGCACCGGCUUUAAGCGUAGCAGAAUCUUUCGCUUUGGAAGUCGGGGCCCCGUCUGCCGGAAGACCUACUCGCAAGGUUGACCUCGGAUCAGGCAGGGAUACCCGCUGAACUUAAGCAUAUCAAUAAGCGGAGGAA
This 330-nucleotide unclassified non-coding RNA is filed under the name soil metagenome. RNAcentral's name for it is "partial contains 5.8S ribosomal RNA, internal transcribed spacer 2, and large subunit ribosomal RNA". The stretch from base 1 to 120 matches the Rfam family "5.8S ribosomal RNA", at positions 35 to 154 of the family's 154-position model. The record is from RNAcentral.